This is a long non-coding RNA of Drosophila ananassae, 489 nucleotides long. RefSeq lists it as uncharacterized. The transcript has 3 exons. The record is from RefSeq and is a predicted model, not a curated record. Lineage: Eukaryota; Metazoa; Arthropoda; Insecta; Diptera; Drosophilidae.
GUGAAAUGGCUACGGGUAGUCAGAGGUUAUUAGUGGAAUGAAUGCUGGGCGGGACAAUUGAUUACUGAACACUGAACGUGAGUGUCCGAGCGGUGCUGCUUAUAUGCGGUUGAAGGAAAUAGGGAAGUUUUGCUUGCAAUCGACCCACCCUAAGAAUUUUCAAGAUAUUACAGUAAACAAUACAAACAAUUUUGAAGCGUCACGAAGAAUUGCUCUAAUCAGUUGUAUAGAUUAGUAAAUGAUCUACUGGUGGUGGUAGUGAGGCAUGCAUCGGCUGAUAAGCUAUUGUGUUCUUAGCGAGUGCCCGAGGAUACUGCUCCGCACCAGGGGAAGCAUGCCACAAUGGCGUCCAGCUGCUCGUAAGUAUCGCUAAUGACUGCAUCAUUAACCAGAUCCAAGUCCAGUAAUUAGUGGGACAGGCGUGAAAAAGGUAAAACAAUAUAGCCGUAAGCCACUCCGAAACUUGGAAAACCGUGAACCGAACCGAAC